UACAAAACACAUUGUAGUCAGGACACGGA
This 29-nucleotide non-coding RNA is filed under the name Mus musculus (house mouse). Lineage: Eukaryota; Metazoa; Chordata; Mammalia; Rodentia; Muridae. The record is from RNAcentral.